CAGUAGCCACGGGAAUACGGAGGGGGCUAGCGUUGUUCGGAAUUACUGGGCGUAAAGCGCACGUAGGCGGUUUUGUAAGUCAGAGGUGAAAGCCCGGAGCUCAACUCCGGAACUGCCUUUGAGACUGCAUCACUUGAACGUCGGAGAGGUGAGUGGAAUUCCGAGUGUAGAGGUGAAAUUCGUAGAUAUUCGGAAGAACACCAGUGGCGAAGGCGGCUCACUGGACGACUGUUGACGCUGAGGUGCGAAAGCGUGGGGAGCAAACAGGAUUAGAUACCCGUAGUCCCUGUCUCUUAUACAC
This 301-nucleotide ribosomal RNA is filed under the name uncultured bacterium. RNAcentral's name for it is "partial 16S ribosomal RNA". It matches the Rfam family "Bacterial small subunit ribosomal RNA", at positions 509 to 809 of the family's 1533-position model. The record is from RNAcentral.